AAGAUCCUAAGGUGUACGAGUACCUACUAUUUUUAACCGACAUGAUGACAUUGGGAGUUCGAGUCUAAUUAUCUAUGUCAGGCCCACUUGAUGUAAGAGGGAAGACAAAAGUAAUUAGUAGGACACCCACCUGCUGGAGAGGCGGGGAUAAAAAUUGUAGGGAGACGGCUCCUCGGGAAAAGA
Molecule: non-coding RNA, 183 nt
Filed under: Clostridia bacterium
Lineage: Bacteria; Bacillati; Bacillota; Clostridia
Description: 6S RNA
Rfam family: 6S / SsrS RNA
About the family: E. coli 6S RNA was the first non coding RNA to be sequenced, but its function was unknown until recently. It consists of 184 nucleotides that fold into an extended hairpin structure with a large single-stranded internal bulge.
Source: RNAcentral